RNAcentral lists this ribosomal RNA (253 nucleotides) under uncultured bacterium. Its description in RNAcentral is "partial 16S ribosomal RNA". It matches the Rfam family "Bacterial small subunit ribosomal RNA", at positions 524 to 776 of the family's 1533-position model. The record is from RNAcentral.
UACGGGGGGUGCGAGCGUUGUCCGGAAUCACUGGGCGUAAAGGGCGCGUAGGUGGUUUGAUAAGGGUGUGGUGAAAGUCCGGGGCUCAACCCCGGAUCUGCCGUGCCGACUGUCAAACUCGAGGGCUGUAGAGGCAGACGGAAUUCCGGGUGUAGCGGUGGAAUGCGUAGAGAUCCGGAGGAAGACCGGUGGCGAAGGCGGUCUGCUGGGCAGUUUCUGACACUGAGGCGCGGCAGCGUGGGGAGCAAACAGG